GUGUGAGGUGGUGCUAUGUAGCAGGAACCCCUCUUGCUUUGCAAAUAGUUUUUUGUUUGUUUUCCUUUUUGCCCAAUAGAGCCCUGCUCUACUGACCCUUCAAUGUGCCCGUGUGCCUAAAUAUUCCUGGUCGUGUGAAAAGAACCCAGGUAUUAGCUGAACUAAGGAGCACAAUUCUGCAACAUUUUGGCACCCAAACACGGGGCUUGAGAAAUGCAUAUUUAACUAUCCGGCUAUUUUGGAGAUUGAAAAAAGAAGACCUGAUUUAUCAUGUGCAAUAUCUCACACAUCUGUCAUUUCUAUUCUACCGCAAUUCGAUGGAGUCUUGUUCUGUGGUCCAGGCUAGAGGGCAGUGGCAUGAUCUCGGCUCACUACAAGCUCUGCCUCCCGGGUUCACGCCAUUCUCCUGCCUCAGCCUCCUGAGUAGCUGGGACUACAGGCGCCCGCCACCACGCCUGGCUAAUUUUUUGUAUAUUUACUAGAGAUGGCUAGUGUUAGCCAAGAUGGUCUCGAUCUCCUGACCUCGUGAUCUGCCCACCUCAGCCUGCCAAAGUGCUGGGAUUACUGGCGUGAGCCACCGUGCCUGGCCAGCAUCCUCUAAUUAUUAUUCAUAGUUUGUGAAUUUAGGCCUACGUGAAUAAUAAUAUAAUAUUUACUAUGAUGUUACUAUCUACCAACCUUAUUUUUCUUUUCUAUAAAAUAGGAGCCAAAAUAAUAUUUAUGUCAUACCUUAUGAAGUUAAAAUAAAAUAUAACGAAUGAGGGGCUUAACAAUGAGUGUCAUUUUGUAAUUACUUUGUACCAUUAUUAAUUGCUGAGACAGAAUAUGGUAUCACUAGUCAUCUGUAUCUAUUGCACAACUUUAUUUUGAUUCAUUCCUUACUAUUUUGCAUAGAUAGGCCUAAAUUUUUGAUCCACUGCUCAACUCCUGUCUUUAAACCAUUGGUUCUCAAAUAGAGUUGAUUUUGACACCUAGGGAACAUUUGACAACAUAUGGAGAUAUUGUUGAUUUUACAGGGCAACCCUUCAUAAGCACAGAAUUAUCUGGCCCCAAAUGUCGACAGUGUCAAGUUCGAGAAACUCUGCACUAGGCUUUUCUGUCUGGUUACUCACCCCUCUUCUUUGCACUGCCCCCAGUUUUAUGGAUAUUGAAUUCCUGAUUUCUCACUAUAUUAAUUGCACUUAUAGAUAUUCUAAAUUGAUUUGUAUAUAUCUUCCUAGUUUGACCCAUUGCUUUUAACUGAAUUUUACUGGGCUUUUAUAAAGGCCAUUUCCAUGGAGUUUAGUCAUUAUCUUCACCAAAUUUUUAUUUGCUUCAGUCUGGGGAGGAACUCUAUAUUAAAAAAUAAAAACAAACCCAAAAACUAAUUUAUGAAAGACAUUUUAUAAUGUAAUUACUUAAACAUUUUUUUUCUUCUUUCUCAUACGAUCUUUUAAAUUCAGUGAGUGACAUGUGGUUUUCAGGCUGGGUCAGGAAGUUUGCUUGGACGGGGAAAUUCUGUCUGCUGAGACACUAGGGGAGCAAAUGCCUAUGUGGGCACAGGCUGGUCACUGACCUCCUAGGGUUCCCUGACAAUAAAUUAGUCCUAGUUGAGGUCGCCAUCAUCAGAACUUAAUUGGUCCCUGGUACUGGUGAAUCUCUGCACCACAGAGACUAAUCAGUUACAGAACUCAGCUUCUGGGCAUAGGCAACCUUUUCUGUUUUUUCAAUUUUUUGUCAGCAAAGUUGAGAAAAUGAACACACUCAAACAGCCCAUUUCUUAGCUUAUCAAUAUCCGUACCCACUUCUUUCCCUCAUCAACAUGUAUUUUCCAUAUUUUGUUGGUAUUAACCUCUGACACUCAUCCACACAAGAAAGUCUACAAAGCCUAAACUAACUUUUAAACAUUAUUUAAGGUAAUAGCUUUGUCUUCCACCAGAAACCUGGCGACAUUUUUAAAAGGAUUUGAAGAGAUAUAUACCCGAGGGACAGAGAGAAAAAUUAGUGCUGACCAGUCUGGGCCUACUUGACUAACACAAAAUAGAUUAAAUUAAUAAAAACAAGAUGUUCUGCAUUUAUAAACAUGUUAACUCUUUUUAAUGUGUAUGACUCAUUAAUGAGUUCAUAAUUAGAUUUUGAAGGAUUUCAUUCUGGACCUUGCAGAUUGUAUGUAUCUUUCUGGUAAAUUAGGAAGUAUAAUUUUUCAAUAAAAAAGCUCACUGGAAACCCCUGUAACAAGUAAUAAAUAUUUAAAAUUUGCA
Molecule: long non-coding RNA, 2240 nt
Organism: Homo sapiens (human)
Lineage: Eukaryota; Metazoa; Chordata; Mammalia; Primates; Hominidae
Gene: PURPL
Product: p53 upregulated regulator of p53 levels
Source: Ensembl